RNAcentral lists this ribosomal RNA (435 nucleotides) under uncultured bacterium. RNAcentral's name for it is "partial 16S ribosomal RNA". It matches the Rfam family "Bacterial small subunit ribosomal RNA", at positions 29 to 507 of the family's 1533-position model. The record is from RNAcentral.
AGCGAACGCUGGCGGCAGGCUUAACACAUGCAAGUCGAGCGGGCACCUUCGGGUGUCAGCGGCAGACGGGUGAGUAACACGUGGGAACGUACCCUUCGGUUCGGAAUAACGCUGGGAAACUAGCGCUAAUACCGGAUACGCCCUUAUGGGGAAAGGUUUACUGCCGAAGGAUCGGCCCGCGUCUGAUUAGCUAGUUGGUGGGGUAACGGCCUACCAAGGCGACGAUCAGUAGCUGGUCUGAGAGGAUGAUCAGCCACACUGGGACUGAGACACGGCCCAGACUCCUACGGGAGGCAGCAGUGGGGAAUAUUGGACAAUGGGCGCAAGCCUGAUCCAGCCAUGCCGCGUGAGUGAUAAAGGCCUUAGGGUUGUAAAGCUCUUUUGUCCGGGACGAUAAUGACGGUACCGGAAGAAUAAGCCCCGGCUAACUUCGUG